This 789-nucleotide ribosomal RNA is filed under the name uncultured euryarchaeote. Its description in RNAcentral is "bacterial SSU rRNA". It matches the Rfam family "Archaeal small subunit ribosomal RNA", at positions 85 to 876 of the family's 1478-position model. Lineage: Archaea; Methanobacteriati; Methanobacteriota. The record is from RNAcentral.
ACGGCUCAGUAACACGUGGACAACGUGCCCUUAGGAGGAGGAUAAUCUCGGGAAAUUGAGAAUAAUACUCCAUAGGUCAUGGGAUCUGGAAUGACCCAUGGCCCAAAGUUCCGGCGCCUAAGGAUCGGUCUGCGGCCUAUCAGGUAGUAGUGGGUGUAACGUACCUACUAGCCUACGACGGGUAUGGGCCUUGAGAGAGGGAGCCCAGAGUUGGAUUCUGAGACACGAAUCCAGGCCCUACGGGGCGCAGCAGUCGCGAAAACUUCACAAUGGGGGCAACCCCGAUGAGGGAAUUCCUAGUGCUAGCACAUUAGUGUUAGCUUUUCUUUAGCGUAGAUAACUAGAGGAAUAAGGGCUGGGUAAGACGGGUGCCAGCCGCCGCGGUAAUACCUGCUGCCCAAGUGGUGGUCGAUAUUAUUGAGUCUAAAACGUUCGUAGCCGGUUUAAUAAAUCCUUGGGUAAAUCGGGAAGCUUAACUUUCCGAAUUCCGAGGAGACUGUUAAACUUGGGACCGGGAGAGGCUAGAGGUACUUCUGGGGUAGGGGUAAAAUCCUGUAAUCCUAGAAGGACCACCGGUGGCGAAGGCGUCUAGCUAGAACGGAUCCGACGGUGAGGGACGAAGCCCUGGGGCGCAAACGGGAUUAGAUACCCCGGUAGUCCAGGGUGUAAACGCUGCCGACUCGGUGUUGGAGGCCCUUUGGGGGCAUUCAGUGCCGGAGAGAAGUUGUUAAGUCUGCUACUUGGGGAGUACGUCCGCAAGGAUGAAACUUAAAGGAAUUGGCGGGGGAG